UAAGAGUGUAACAAAUACAUGUCAUAGCUAAACUAAAUAUAGCUAAAUAUGUCAGAAUCCACUUGGAAUAGAGGCUCAGACCGUAUCUUAGCAGCCAGCGUAUCAAACUGGAAACAUCUUUCAAGUGCGAGUCUAUCAAACUAACAUUUUGAGCAAGUCAAGAAACAAAAAGGGAUCUGAAAUGCAACAUGAUGUUUGCUUUGUAUUAUGUUCUAAAAGUGUUUUCUGUGUUUUCUGUAGAUAUAAUCCAACAACUGGGUUUUCUUGCUUAAAUGCAAAUCAAGGAGGAGGGGUUUGAGCUGAUUAUAUGGUGCGCUUCACCUGCCCAGAGGAUUGGUGUUCAAAAUGUAGGAUACCUUGGUAUGACUGAGAUGACCCCAGUGGACUAGGAGACAAUGAGAAGCUGCUGUUACUCCUGAUAAGAUACCCACUGCAGGUCUGCGCUCAGCCCAUCGCCAUUGAGGUCACAACCAUUAGUGGGACUCCUUCACUGCCACCUGGAAACAAUUUUCAAGUAUAUGACCCAUCUGUAACGGUGCUGAUGAGACGUGAGACGUGCAGAUCCAUGUGCAAGCUUUUAUUGGACAGAGAUGUUGUCCUAGCAGGCAUGGGUCAAACAAUGGCAAACAGGUAUAUAGAGGGCAAGACACAAGAAUAAUACUAGGGCAAGCAUGGGUCUUCGAUGAGCGAACAAUAUCCAGAGGGGAAGACAAGAGGGGUAAUCCAGUAACCAGAGCAAACGGGUCUAAACACGAGAAGGAGGGCAUGGCAAGGAAAAGAUUAGAUUAUGAGAACAAUAAACUGACUCAAAACUAUGAAAACUAGACACUGAAACAAGACUAUGAAAACUAGAAACUAAGACUAAGACUAUGAAAACAAACACGGAAUGGCUUGGUAUUGACGCUAUCGCAAGGAGAGGGAUAUAUGCAGAACAAUACUCGGCAGUGUGUGAGAGGAAGUCCAAUGCUUAUAAAGUGUGUCUGCUGAUUGUGCUGUGCAUGUGUAAUUGGUGGCAGCUGUGUGUGAUAGUUUUCAGGUGAAUGUGAUUGGUGCAAUGUAGUCCAGGGUAUACUGUGUAAUGUGAGAGUCUGUGUUGUGGACGAUGACCUCUAGUGGUGAAUUAACGGAAGUUCAGUGACCGGAUCAUGACACCGUUAAAGAGCUUUGAGUGUGUGAAUGGGGCCUGUCAAGACUACAGGGUUCGCUUCACAUGUCCAUUAAGUUUCUGCAACACAAUGUAUGUAACCAGGCGGUUUGAUUCGGAUAACCCUGAAACAAAUGGAAGCGAUUCUGAACUCUUGUCUGGCCUUUUUCAGUACGUACCCUGGUUACAUUUGCCCAAAUCCAAUCGGAAUAGAAGUUCAGACCAUCUCUGGCCAGCCAGCGUAUCAAAUUGGAGACAUCUUUCAAGUGUAUGAUCCAGUCUUUGGGGUUGCUUGUGUAAAUGCAGACCAAACAGGAGGAAGACAUUUAUUGAAUUCUUUUGAUUUUUCUAUUGCUCCCACUCACAAGGGUGGCCAUAUACUUGACUUAGUGCUUCUACAUUGACUUAGUAUCACUGCUAUAGAAGUCUGUGAAAAUGGGCUCUCUGACCAUAAGACUGUUUACUGUCUCAUGUUCUGCUGCUGCAAAUAUUGUCCCACUUUGUGGCCGCUUUUCUCGGCGUAUUACCCAGACUACUAAAGACAUACAAGACUCAUUUUUUCAACAAUUUUUCAUGCAGUGAUGCCAUCUACUGCCAAUUUUUCCUGUGAUGCUAGUUUUGAGAUUCUCCUCUCCUGGUUUAAUUUCACCUGUUCUAAUGUUUUAAAUGCUGUGGCUCCUUUAAGGACUCUUCAGUCUAAAACUUGUUCUGAACCCUGGAUUGAUGAUUCCAUUUGUUCUCAGACAAUGUUGUAGAAGAGCAUAACGAAAGUGGAAAAAGGAUACGCUUCAUGUUUCUUUUGAGAUUUUAGAAGACACUCUUUUUAAAUAUAAGAAAGCAGUGAAAAAAGCUAAAGUUUGAUAUUUGUCAAAUAUUAUUGAUAAGAACUGCUCUAGACCAAAGACUCUUUUUAAUAUUAUUAAUGCUACUCUCAACCCGUCGGCCUGUCUUGUUCCUGGUGUUUCUUCUCCAUCAUGUGAAGAAUUUGUUUUUUUUUUUUGAUAAUAAAAUUUGGGAUCUCCGGUUGGGGA
Cyprinus carpio carpio is the source of this 2175-nucleotide long non-coding RNA. The record is from Ensembl. Lineage: Eukaryota; Metazoa; Chordata; Actinopteri; Cypriniformes; Cyprinidae.